UGAGUCGGCAGGGCGGCCGCGGCGGGUCACACCGCCGAGGAAAGUCCGGACUCCACAGGGCAGGGUGGUUGCUAACGGCAACCAGGGGUGACCCUCGGGACAGUGCCACAGAGAACAGACCGCCUCGGCGCGAGCCGAGGUAAGGGUGAAACGGUGGUGUAAGAGACCACCAGCGCCCCAGGUGACUGGGGCGGCUAGGUAAACCCCACCCGGAGCAAGGCCAAGAGGGCACCGCGAGGUGCCUGCGUGAGCGUUCGAGGGCGGCCCGUCCGAUGCUCACGGGUAGGCCGCUAGAGCCUGUCGGCGACGGCAGGCCCAGAUGGAUGGUCGCCGCGCGGGAGGAGUUCCCGCGAACAGGAUCCGGCUUACAUGCCGGCUCAUCCG
RNAcentral lists this RNase P RNA (384 nucleotides) under Lentzea fradiae. RNAcentral describes it as "Lechevalieria fradiae Bacterial RNase P class A". It matches the Rfam family "Bacterial RNase P class A". Rfam says of the family: Ribonuclease P (RNase P) is a ubiquitous endoribonuclease, found in archaea, bacteria and eukarya as well as chloroplasts and mitochondria. Its best characterised activity is the generation of mature 5'-ends of tRNAs by cleaving the 5'-leader elements of precursor-tRNAs. Lineage: Bacteria; Bacillati; Actinomycetota; Actinomycetes; Pseudonocardiales; Pseudonocardiaceae. The record is from RNAcentral.